GCUGGAUUAGCUCAGUUGGUUAGAGCGUGCGGCUGUUAACCGCAAGGCCACAGGUUCGACCCCUGUAUCUAGCG
This 74-nucleotide transfer RNA is filed under the name Megaviridae environmental sample. Its description in RNAcentral is "tRNA-Asn". It matches the Rfam family "tRNA". From Rfam's summary of the family: Transfer RNA (tRNA) molecules are approximately 80 nucleotides in length. Lineage: Varidnaviria; Bamfordvirae; Nucleocytoviricota; Megaviricetes; Imitervirales; Mimiviridae. The record is from RNAcentral.